AUCUGUCUUUAGGUUGUAUUC
Caenorhabditis elegans is the source of this 21-nucleotide non-coding RNA. The record is from Ensembl. NCBI's taxonomy places the organism in Eukaryota, Metazoa, Nematoda, Chromadorea, Rhabditida, Rhabditidae.